This is an RNA transcript of Salvia splendens (bonfire salvia), 1212 nucleotides long. It is a transcript of the gene named cancer-related nucleoside-triphosphatase homolog, with no coding region annotated. NCBI's taxonomy places the organism in Eukaryota, Viridiplantae, Streptophyta, Magnoliopsida, Lamiales, Lamiaceae. The record is from RefSeq and is a predicted model, not a curated record. The transcript is spliced from 7 exons.
UAAAGUAAAUAAGUAAAAGUUCUUAGGCAAUUGAAAUUCCUACUUUUUUUAUAUAUAUUGAAAUAUUGAAGUACCCAAAUUAUUGUUAUUAGUAAAAAAAUAUAGGCAAUGAUUUUUUUAAUAUUAAAUUAUUGAAGUACAGAAUCCAAAUAUAUUUGUGAGUCCGGUGUUGCUAGCUAGAAGGUGUCGUGGCAAUUGGGAAGCGCUUCUGUAAUUGCGGCCGCCGGAAAAUGCUUUCUCGUCACCGGAUCUCCGUCCUUGUUUGGUGAUUUAUGCAGGGAGUGGGGAAAACUACUUUGAUAAUCCGAGUUCUGGAUGCCCUCAAACAAUUCAUUCCCAGCUUAAAAAUUCAGGGUUUUUAUACUCGUGAGGUAAGAGAAGGGUGUGAUAGGGUAGGAUUUGAAGUGGUUACUGUUGAUGGCCGCAGAGGUCCUCUUGCAUCCACCAUUAUCACUAGCCGUGAAUCUCACAAAUGGCCUAACGUGGGGAGGUACAAAGUAGAUGUCUCGUCGUUUGAGUCAUUAGCAUUGCCUGAGUUGGAGGUUAAAGAAGACACUGAUCUGUUCAUUAUUGAUGAAGUUGGUAAAAUGGAGCUGUUCAGCGCAUCAUUCUUCCCUGCUGUCUUAAGAGUUCUAGAAUCCAAUAUCCCUCUGUUGGCGACUGUCCCUGUCCCAAAAUCUGGCAGAGAUAUUCCUGGAGUUGCAAGGUUGAAAAAUCAUCCAGGAGCAACCAUUUAUACGCUGAAUACAAGCAACCGAGAUGCCAUGAAAGAACAAAUAUACUCCAACUUGGUAGGCUUGUUGCAAAACCACUAGCUUCUGUCAAAAGCCUGACCUUCCUACCCUGUGACUCAUGCAACUGACUUCCUCUCGAACCUGUAGAAGAUCCGUGUGGAAUGAAAGUGAGUUUUGCCCACUUGUUGUGCAUCAACUUUUCAAGGAUUAAAGUGAGUCCAUAUCAAAUUUGUUCCUUUGCUACAGGAAAAUAUCCCAACCAUUUUUCGCUGUAAUCAUGCUGCCCUGGACGACGAAAGGGGACUCAUCCACACCCGAUGAUGGCAUUGAAGCCUCCCAUCAAUUUAAAGACAUAUAAGUUGUUUGGAAAUUUGAACGUAAGGAUCAAAUUUGAUGCGUGAAACGGUGAAAUGAUAAUACUAUCCUGGAGUAUUGAUGUCAUAAUAUUUUUCACCAUUUUUUCCUUACUAAGAUCAAA